UACGAAGGGGGCUAGCGUUGCUCGGAAUCACUGGGCGUAAAGCGCACGUAGGCGGGUCGUUAAGUCGGGGGUGAAAUCCUGGAGCUCAACUCCAGAACUGCCUUCGAUACUGGCGAUCUUGAGUACGGAAGAGGUAUGUGGAACUCCGAGUGUAGAGGUGAAAUUCGUAGAUAUUCGGAAGAACACCAGUGGCGAAGGCGACAUACUGGUCCGUUACUGACGCUGAGGCUCGAAAGCGUGGGGAGCAAACAGG
This 253-nucleotide ribosomal RNA is filed under the name uncultured bacterium. RNAcentral's name for it is "partial 16S ribosomal RNA". It matches the Rfam family "Bacterial small subunit ribosomal RNA", at positions 524 to 776 of the family's 1533-position model. The record is from RNAcentral.